AACGCGAAGAACCUUACCUGGGCUCGAAAUGUAGUGGAAUCCGGUAGAAAUAUCGGCGCCCCGCAAGGGGCCGCUAUAUAGGUGCUGCAUGGCUGUCGUCAGCUCGUGUCGUGAGAUGUUGGGUUAAGUCCCGCAACGAGCGCAACCCUUAUCUCCAGUUGCUACCAUUUAGUUGAGCACUCCGGCGAAACCGCCUCGGAUAACGGGGAGGAAGGUGGGGAUGACGUCAAGUCCUCAUGGCCUUUAUGUCCAGGGCUACACACGUGCUACAAUGGCCGGUACAAACCGCUGCAAACCCGCGAGGGGGAGCUAAUCGGAAAAAGCCGGCCUCAGUUCGGAUUGGAGUCUGCAACUCGACUCCAUGAAGCUGGAAUCGCUAGUAAUGACGUGUCAGCAACAACGUCGUGAAUACGUUCCCGGGCCUUGUACACACCGCUAGUC
This 441-nucleotide ribosomal RNA is filed under the name uncultured bacterium. RNAcentral's name for it is "bacterial SSU rRNA". It matches the Rfam family "Bacterial small subunit ribosomal RNA", at positions 958 to 1398 of the family's 1533-position model. The record is from RNAcentral.